RNAcentral lists this non-coding RNA (30 nucleotides) under Homo sapiens (human). Lineage: Eukaryota; Metazoa; Chordata; Mammalia; Primates; Hominidae. The record is from RNAcentral.
UGUAACCACAUCCACCCAGGUUAAGGUGAA